Molecule: ribosomal RNA, 519 nt
Filed under: Bacillus sp. EB02
Lineage: Bacteria; Bacillati; Bacillota; Bacilli; Caryophanales; Bacillaceae
Description: bacterial SSU rRNA
Rfam family: Bacterial small subunit ribosomal RNA
Source: RNAcentral
GGAUUAAGAGCUUGCUCUUAUGAAGUUAGCGGCGGACGGGUGAGUAACACGUGGGUAACCUGCCCAUAAGACUGGGAUAACUCCGGGAAACCGGGGCUAAUACCGGAUAACAUUUUGAACCGCAUGGUUCGAAAUUGAAAGGCGGCUUCGGCUGUCACUUAUGGAUGGACCCGCGUCGCAUUAGCUAGUUGGUGAGGUAACGGCUCACCAAGGCAACGAUGCGUAGCCGACCUGAGAGGGUGAUCGGCCACACUGGGACUGAGACACGGCCCAGACUCCUACGGGAGGCAGCAGUAGGGAAUCUUCCGCAAUGGACGAAAGUCUGACGGAGCAACGCCGCGUGAGUGAUGAAGGCUUUCGGGUCGUAAAACUCUGUUGUUAGGGAAGAACAAGUGCUAGUUGAAUAAGCUGGCACCUUGACGGUACCUAACCAGAAAGCCACGGCUAACUACGUGCCAGCAGCCGCGGUAAUACGUAGGUGGCAAGCGUUAUCCGGAAUUAUUGGGCGUAAAGCGCGCG